This 764-nucleotide ribosomal RNA is filed under the name bacterium enrichment culture clone PA_81. Its description in RNAcentral is "bacterial SSU rRNA". It matches the Rfam family "Bacterial small subunit ribosomal RNA", at positions 1 to 803 of the family's 1533-position model. The record is from RNAcentral.
UAGAGUUUGAUCCUGGCUCAGAAUCAACGCUGGCGGCGUGCCUAACACAUGCAAGUCGCACGAGAAAGGGGCUUCGGCUCUGAGUAAAGUGGCGCACGGGUGAGUAACACGUGAAUUAUCUACCUCCGAGUGGGGAAUAACUGAGAGAAAUCUUAGCUAAUACCGCAUAACACUUACGAGUCAAAGCAGCAAUGCGCUUGGAGAGGAGUUCGCGGCCGAUUAGUUAGUUGGCGGGGUAAUGGCCCACCAAGACGAUGAUCGGUAUCCGGCCUGAGAGGGCGCACGGACACACUGGAACUGAAACACGGUCCAGACUCCUACGGGAGGCAGCAGUGGGGAAUUUUGCGCAAUGGGGGAAACCCUGACGCAGCAACGCCGCGUGGAGGAUGAGAUCCCUUGGGAUGUAAACUCCUUUCGAUAGGGAAGAUUAUGACGGUACCUAUAGAAGAAGCCCCGGCUAACUUCGCGCCAGCAGCCGCGGUAAUACGAGGGGGGCAAGCGUUGUUCGGAAUUAUUGGGCGUAAAGGGCGCGUAGGCGGUUUGACAAGUCUGAUGUGAAAUCUCUGGGCUCAACCCAGAGUCUGCAUUAGAAACUGUCGGGCUUGAGUAUGGGAGAGGUGAGUGGAAUCUCCGGUGUAGCGGUGAAAUGCGUAGAUAUCGGAAGGAACACCUGUGGCGAAAGCGGCUCACUGGACCAUAACUGACGCUGAGGCGCGAAAGCUAGGGGAGCAAACAGGAUUAGAUACCCUGGUAGUCCUAGCCCU